RNAcentral lists this ribosomal RNA (279 nucleotides) under uncultured bacterium. RNAcentral describes it as "partial 16S ribosomal RNA". It matches the Rfam family "Bacterial small subunit ribosomal RNA", at positions 506 to 784 of the family's 1533-position model. The record is from RNAcentral.
UGCCAGCCGCCGCGGUAAUACGUAGGGUGCAAGCGUUGUUCGGAUUUACUGGGCGUAAAGGGCGUGUAGGCGGAAAGAUAAGCAGGAGGUGAAAUCCCGGGGCUCAACCCCGGAACUGCUUCCUGAACUGUAUUUCUAGAGAGGGUCAGAGGCUAGUGGAAUUCCCAGUGUAGAGGUGAAAUUCGUAGAUAUUGGGAAGAACACCAGUGGCGAAGGCGGCUAACUGGCUCGGUACUGACGCUGAGAUGCGAAAGCGUGGGGAGCAAACAGGAUUAGAUA